Molecule: ribosomal RNA, 253 nt
Filed under: uncultured bacterium
Lineage: Bacteria
Description: partial 16S ribosomal RNA
Rfam family: Bacterial small subunit ribosomal RNA
Source: RNAcentral
GACGAGCCACACAAACGUUAUUCGGAAUUACUGGGCUUAAAGGGCGCGUAGGCGGCUUGGUCAGUCCCGUGUGAAAUCCCUCGGCUCAACUGAGGAACUGCACGGGAAACUGCCUGGCUUGAGUUCGGGAGAGGGAAGCGGAAUUCCGGGUGUAGCGGUGAAAUGCGUAGAUAUCCGGAGGAACACCGGUGGCGAAGGCGGCUUCCUGGGCCGACACUGACGCUGAGGCGCGAAAGCUAGGGGAGCAAACGGG